This 304-nucleotide long non-coding RNA is filed under the name Monodelphis domestica (gray short-tailed opossum). Its description in RNAcentral is "lncRNA (ENSMODG00000049933.1)". Lineage: Eukaryota; Metazoa; Chordata; Mammalia; Didelphimorphia; Didelphidae. The record is from RNAcentral.
UAUUUUUACUGCUUCAUGUGUGUUUCUUAUAAACAAUGUAUUGUAAGAAGCUGGUUUUUAAUCUAAUGCUAUAUGCUUCAAUUUUCUGGGUCCUGGAAAAUGGUAAAUUCAGGGUACAACUCAGAUAACAGUGGAGAAGCAAUUUCAUCUUGGGAACUAUGAAGCAGAAUUGACUCUUAGAUGAUGAAGAUGCCUAGCUUUUAAAGAGAACUUUGUCUGCAGUUCAGUCUUUGUUAUCCUAUCAGUCAUUUCCUAUGUACACUCAAUGGAAGCCUCUCUAAGGGAAUUAAAGUGGACUAUAAAU